GGAGCUUAAGGGAGGCUUCUCAAUUCCCAACAGACUGCAAAAAACCCUAAUUAAUAAGAGAAACUGUCAGAUUUGUGGGAGAUUCAGCCUAACUUCUUCGUAGAACUUAAUACUAUCUUAUUGUGGCUCGUCUUUUAGUUUCCAAGAAGCUUUCGUCUUCUCCGGUUUAGAGAAUUAGGUUUUCGAGAAACUAAGGUAAAUGUUUUUUACCCCUUUCGAAGUUUUCUGUACAUAAUGAGAUCGAUGUGUUCUUUACUCAAGAUUUGUGUAUCUGGAUUUGAAAGUAGUAAACUUGGUGUAUAGAACCAGAGAUAGAGUAAUUCAAGAUUUGGUUCUGUAAUGCUUGCAGCGGGAGCUUUUAAGCUCAAUUUGUAGGAAUUAAAAAAAAAAUCGUCAACAAAUCAGUUUCUUCUUUUGAUAGCAAGGAAUCAAGAAUUAGCUAAAUAAUUUGGAAUUUUUCGGCGUUGCUCUUUGGUUAAUGUGAAAAACUUAUUGACAUUUGCAAGUGAUUUGUGCUUCAGAAAGAGCUAUAAAGAUGGAGAUGGAGCCAAUGCUACAUAUAUCAAGUGUAAUGAACAAUGAGUGCGUGGCUUUGCUUCUCUUUUCUUGUUAUUCUGGUAAAUUUUAAAUGUUUUGCUACAUGCAUACAUGUUUCAGAGCUUCCUUCGUCUUAGGACAACAACAAAUGUGAUGGGUCUUAUGUCUUCCUUGGCCAACUCCUCGUCAACCAUUC
Molecule: long non-coding RNA, 733 nt
Filed under: Capsella rubella
Lineage: Eukaryota; Viridiplantae; Streptophyta; Magnoliopsida; Brassicales; Brassicaceae
Description: long non-coding RNA (CRUB_LNC001254)
Source: RNAcentral